UAAGGAUGGAUAAGAUGGUGUGAAACAUUGACUACAAGACCCUCUUUCGUAAAAUUUAUUUUGAAAAGCUAUGCAGAAUACUAAUUCUUUUCCAAAUGCUCUAAACCUGAAUUUCCUGGAACAGAACACAUAUAAUUGGAGUGGGAAUGAAAGGGCAAAACAUAAUAAACAUACUUAACAGGCCAUAACCAUUAACUACUAAGGGGUUAAUUAACUACCAGUGACACACUUGUCCCAAACUAAGACCUGGUUGGACUUUUGCACUUCGUCCCACAGAGUAGCUGAGAAUCAUAAAGCUCUUACAGGCAAUGCUCAAAUUUGGAAAAACCAGCAAACAUGCAGUACUGUGCAGCAGAUGGCAAGAUGUUCUAGAGAUUCCAUUAAGAGCAUCUUGGUCAUCAUGUGAUGCAAGACAAAAGCAAACACUUGUAGCAGCCAACUGGAAUCAAUUCCUCUACAGUGACAACAGAGAUGGCAACCUACAGCUUGCAGGAACAGAAAGCUGAGAGUGAAAUCACAGGCCACCCACAUAUAUAGAGAUACCCCAAAGAACACAAAUACUCAUUAUUACACACAAGUCACCAGGAAUCAAGGACAGCUGAAAAAGAACCCAUGAUAUGUUAUCUUUCAAGAAGCUUGCUGAGCAGCUUCUAAGAGUUCCUCCUUUAGAGCACACUGAAAUGCCUGAGUUAAAGUACUGCAUGGAUUUCUACGUAUGAUGAGAUGUCAUAAUCAAGAAGAUGAGCUACAGUAAGAAGCUACAAACAGCUUGGAUAAUAUUUUCUCAGCAUAGCACUACAUAAGAAAAAAUAGGAAGUCUUGAAGUUACCAGCAGCUACCUUGUUCUUAAGUGGAACACAGUUUCAUCCUGUAAAAGUUACAGAUUUCUAGAAGAAUUUGUAUGUAUUUUCACCUAGCUUGGUUUAAAUACAUAGGAAAUUAACCAGAUGAUUAUCAAGUUUUAACUCAAGAGUUUGCCACUAUCACUUAAAAACAUCUUGACAUUUCUCAGAAGCAUUUUUCCAUGGUUCAAGCAGCCCAGUUACAGGUUAAAGGGCUGAAUCCUGCAACUAUUCAGGCUAUAAGCCUAUUUUCUGAAUAUAUAUACUGCUCCAAGUAAGUUUGAAGAACCUUGUCUUAUAUUCCUGGGUUUGAACUCUUUGGCUACAGUAAGCUCUUUCUUACCAUUUCUAACGCACAUUGUCAAUACCUAUGUUGUAUAAAAGAAUAUUCUCAGCCCAACAUCCAAUAGCCAUUACAUUUUUAAGUCUUUCUUGAAGCUGGUACCCAUAAUUUAUUUUUGAGAAACCAUUUGCUAAUACAAGCUUUUUCCUCCCAUGCAAAGUGAUCUAUUACUGUCAAAUUUUCUAUGUGACUGUUACACAUCAACAAACUGGAAAGCAACCUAGCUUUUCAAAUUGGAUGUCUUCCUUUAAAUAAACCAUACAAAGAAAAUUAAUGUAUUGCUUUUUCAUUCAAAUGUCUCCCUUCAUGAUCAACGGCUGAUAUUCCCCACAAACAAUUUGUGGUAUCAGAAAGU
Molecule: long non-coding RNA, 1540 nt
Organism: Pezoporus flaviventris
Lineage: Eukaryota; Metazoa; Chordata; Aves; Psittaciformes; Psittacidae
Exons: 3
Source: RefSeq, a predicted model, not a curated record